Molecule: long non-coding RNA, 568 nt
Filed under: Elaeis guineensis (African oil palm)
Lineage: Eukaryota; Viridiplantae; Streptophyta; Magnoliopsida; Arecales; Arecaceae
Description: long non-coding RNA (EGUI_LNC037058)
Source: RNAcentral
GGCCCAUAUGUAGAUAAGGCAGGCACAUCAUCUCUUGUCAUGACAGGUUGAUUUUACAUAUUAAAUUUUUUUAUAUUUAAUUUAUUUUAUUUUUUAUCAUGUAUAAAUAACUGAUUUUAAGCUAUGCCACUAGGAGGACGAUCUGAUAGGAGGGGGCCACAUAGAGAUAUCGGUAUAUCUCCAUUUCAGUAGCAGUCAUAUCAUCCUAAGGUAGGCACAUCAUCUCCUAUCAUGAUAGUUUGAUUUUACAUAUUAUAAUUUUUUAUAUUUAAUUUAUUUUAAUUUUUUAUCAUAUAUAAAUAAUUAAUUUUAAGCUAUGCCAUUAGGAGGACCAUCUGAUAAGGGAGACCCAUACGGAGAUGUCGGUACCUCCUCAUCUCAGUAGCUAUCUAUCGAGAUAGGCAUAUCAUCUCCUACCAUGAUAGAUUGAUUUUAUAUAUUAUAAUUUUUUAUAUUUAAUUUAUUUUAAGUUUUUAUCAUAUAUAAAUAACUGAUUUUAAGCUUAUAUUUUGCUGCAGCUGACACUGUGAUUAGGCGAACUCAUGGAGCUGCCAGAAAUGAGAAGUUG